UAGGGAAUCUUCGGCAAUGGACGGAAGUCUGACCGAGCAACGCCGCGUGAGUGAAGAAGGUUUUCGGAUCGUAAAGCUCUGUUGUAAGAGAAGAACGAGUGUGAGAGUGGAAAGUUCACACUGUGACGGUAUCUUACCAGAAAGGGACGGCUAACUACGUGCCAGCAGCCGCGGUAAUACGUAGGUCCCGAGCGUUGUCCGGAUUUAUUGGGCGUAAAGCGAGCGCAGGCGGUUAGAUAAGUCUGAAGUUAAAGGCUGUGGCUUAACCAUAGUACGCUUUGGAAACUGUUUAACUUGAGUGCAAGAGGGGAGAGUGGAAUUCCAUGUGUAGCGGUGAAAUGCGUAGAUAUAUGGAGGAACACCGGUGGCGAAAGCGGCUCUCUGGCUUGUAACUGACGCUGAGGCUCGAAAGCGUGGGAAGCAAACAGGAUUAGAUACCCUGGUAGUCCACGCCGUAAACGAUGUAUACUAGUUGUUGCUUCGCUAGUCGAGGCAGUAAUGCACCUAACGGAUUAAGUAUACCGCCUGGGGAGUACGGUCGCAAGAUUA
Molecule: ribosomal RNA, 549 nt
Filed under: uncultured bacterium
Lineage: Bacteria
Description: bacterial SSU rRNA
Rfam family: Bacterial small subunit ribosomal RNA
Source: RNAcentral